Molecule: ribosomal RNA, 465 nt
Filed under: uncultured bacterium
Lineage: Bacteria
Description: partial 16S ribosomal RNA
Rfam family: Bacterial small subunit ribosomal RNA
Source: RNAcentral
UGGGGAAUAUUGCACAAUGGGCGAAAGCCUGAUGCAGCAACGCCGCGUGCGGGAUGACGGCCUUCGGGUUGUAAACCGCUUUCAGCAGGGACGAAGGUUUUCUGACGGUACCUGCAGAAGAAGCACCGGCUAACUACGUGCCAGCAGCCGCGGUGAUACGUAGGGUGCGAGCGUUGUCCGGAAUUAUUGGGCGUAAAGAGCUUGUAGGCGGUCCGUUGCGUCGGAAGUGAAAACUCAGGGCUUAACCCCUGAGCCUGCUUUCGAUACGGGCGGACUUGAGGGAUGUAGGGGAGAACGGAAUUCCUGGUGGAGCGGUGGAAUGCGCAGAUAUCAGGAGGAACACCAGUGGCGAAGGCGGUUCUCUGGACAUUUCCUGACGCUGAGAAGCGAAAGCNUGGGGNGCAAACAGGCUUANAUACCCUGGUAGUCCACGCCGUAAACGGUGGGCACUAGGUGUGGGACCCA